RNAcentral lists this non-coding RNA (925 nucleotides) under Naegleria gruberi. RNAcentral's name for it is "Eukaryotic small subunit ribosomal RNA". It matches the Rfam family "Eukaryotic small subunit ribosomal RNA", at positions 938 to 1831 of the family's 1831-position model. Lineage: Eukaryota; Heterolobosea; Eutetramitea; Acrasida; Naegleriidae. The record is from Rfam by way of RNAcentral.
ACUAAGGCGAAAGCUGUCGUGGGCACCACAAGCUCGUCUAUCAGGGACGAAAGUUGGGGGAUCGAAGACGAUUAGAUACCGUCGUAGUCCCAACUAUAAACGAUACCAACCGAGUAUUUGGGAAGACACUAUCCCAGCGAUCUUCUCAGAACUCAAGGGAAACCUUAAGUCUUUGGGUUCUGGGGGGAGUAUAGUCGCAAGACCGAAACUUAAAGGAAUUGACGGAAAGGCACCACCAGGAGUGGAGUCUGCGGCUUAAUUCGACUCAACACGGGGAAACUCACCAGGUCAGGACACAAGUUUGAUUGACAGGUUAAUAGCCCUUUCUUGAUUGUGUGGUGGGUAGUGCAUGGCCGUUUCCAGUUCGUGGAGUGAUCUGUCUUGUUAAUUCAGAUAACGAACGAGACCUAAGCCUUUAACUAGCCGUAGGCCUUUUCCUUCGGGGAAGGGUUAGUUUGUCGGAACAGGUUUCGGCCUGUUCCAAAACCUACGAGACUUUUGUCAGCUUCUUAAAGGGACUUCAUUCGUAAACUAGGAUGAGGAAGAUUUAGGCCAUAACAGGUCUGUGAUGCUCUUAGAUGUCCUGGGCUGCACGCGUACUACAAUAACGGUACCAGCGAGCGCUAUGGUUUUAUAACCCCUUAUCCUAAUAGGAUUGGGAAAACUUUUCAAACACCGUUAUGACAGGGAUCGAGGAUUGGAACAUCCUCGUGAACGAGGAAUUCCUAGUAAGCGUGGUUCAUCAUACCACAUUGAUUACGUCCCUGCCUUUUGUACACACCGNCCGUCGCUCCUACCGAUGGGACGAAGAGAUGAACCUGGCGGACCGAACCGCAAGGUAAGGGAAACCAGUUAAAUCUCUUCGUCUGUAGGAAGGAAAAGUCGUAACAAGGUCUUCGUAGGUGAACCUGCGUAGGGAUCAUUU